Molecule: ribosomal RNA, 3008 nt
Filed under: Salmonella enterica subsp. enterica serovar Gaminara
Lineage: Bacteria; Pseudomonadati; Pseudomonadota; Gammaproteobacteria; Enterobacterales; Enterobacteriaceae
Description: bacterial LSU rRNA
Rfam family: Bacterial large subunit ribosomal RNA
Source: RNAcentral
GGGUUGUGAGGUUAAGCGACUAAGCGUACACGGUGGAUGCCCUGGCAGUCAGAGGCGAUGAAGGACGUGCUAAUCUGCGAUAAGCGCCGGUAAGGUGAUAUGAACCGUUAUAACCGGCGAUUUCCGAAUGGGGAAACCCAGUGUGACUCGUCACACUAUCAUUAACUGAAUCCAUAGGUUAAUGAGGCGAACCGGGGGAACUGAAACAUCUAAGUACCCCGAGGAAAAGAAAUCAACCGAGAUUCCCCCAGUAGCGGCGAGCGAACGGGGAGGAGCCCAGAGCCUGAAUCAGCAUGUGUGUUAGUGGAAGCGUCUGGAAAGGCGCGCGAUACAGGGUGACAGCCCCGUACACAAAAGCGCAUGUGCUGUGAGCUCGAUGAGUAGGGCGGGACACGUGGUAUCCUGUCUGAAUAUGGGGGGACCAUCCUCCAAGGCUAAAUACUCCUGACUGACCGAUAGUGAACCAGUACCGUGAGGGAAAGGCGAAAAGAACCCCGGCGAGGGGAGUGAAAAAGAACCUGAAACCGUGUACGUACAAGCAGUGGGAGCACCCUUUGGGGUGUGACUGCGUACCUUUUGUAUAAUGGGUCAGCGACUUAUAUUCUGUAGCAAGGUUAACCGAAUAGGGGAGCCGGAGGGAAACCGAGUCUUAAUUGGGCGUUAAGUUGCAGGGUAUAGACCCGAAACCCGGUGAUCUAGCCAUGGGCAGGUUGAAGGUUGGGUAACACUAACUGGAGGACCGAACCGACUAAUGUUGAAAAAUUAGCGGAUGACCUGUGGCUGGGGGUGAAAGGCCAAUCAAACCGGGAGAUAGCUGGUUCUCCCCGAAAGCUAUUUAGGUAGCGCCUCGUGAAUUCAUCUCCGGGGGUAGAGCACUGUUUCGGCUAGGGGGCCAUCCCGGCUUACCAACCCGAUGCAAACUGCGAAUACCGGAGAAUGUUAUCACGGGAGACACACGGCGGGUGCUAACGUCCGUCGUGAAGAGGGAAACAACCCAGACCGCCAGCUAAGGUCCCAAAGUCAUGGUUAAGUGGGAAACGAUGUGGGAAGGCCCAGACAGCCAGGAUGUUGGCUUAGAAGCAGCCAUCAUUUAAAGAAAGCGUAAUAGCUCACUGGUCGAGUCGGCCUGCGCGGAAGAUGUAACGGGGCUAAACCAUGCACCGAAGCUGCGGCAGCGAACGUAUCACUUAAAGCGAUUCAGCGGAUGACGAUUGACGGAGCGAAGCGACGUCAAAGCGUAUACAAAGUCGAGUCGGUUUAAGGAUACGUUCGUUGGGUAGGGGAGCGUUCUGUAAGCCUGCGAAGGUGGCCUGUGAGGGUUGCUGGAGGUAUCAGAAGUGCGAAUGCUGACAUAAGUAACGAUAAAGCGGGUGAAAAGCCCGCUCGCCGGAAGACCAAGGGUUCCUGUCCAACGUUAAUCGGGGCAGGGUGAGUCGACCCCUAAGGCGAGGCCGAAAGGCGUAGUCGAUGGGAAACGGGUUAAUAUUCCCGUACUUGGUGUUACUGCGAAGGGGGGACGGAGAAGGCUAUGUUGGCCGGGCGACGGUUGUCCCGGUUUAAGCGUGUAGGUGUGUGUUCCAGGUAAAUCCGGUUCACUUUAACACUGAGGCGUGAUGACGAGGCACUACGGUGCUGAAGCAACAAAUGCCCUGCUUCCAGGAAAAGCCUCUAAGCAUCAGGUAACAUCAAAUCGUACCCCAAACCGACACAGGUGGUCAGGUAGAGAAUACCAAGGCGCUUGAGAGAACUCGGGUGAAGGAACUAGGCAAAAUGGUGCCGUAACUUCGGGAGAAGGCACGCUGACAUGUAGGUGAAGUGAUUUACUCAUGGAGCUGAAGUCAGUCGAAGAUACCAGCUGGCUGCAACUGUUUAUUAAAAACACAGCACUGUGCAAACACGAAAGUGGACGUAUACGGUGUGACGCCUGCCCGGUGCCGGAAGGUUAAUUGAUGGGGUCAGCGCAAGCGAAGCUCCUGAUCGAAGCCCCGGUAAACGGCGGCCGUAACUAUAACGGUCCUAAGGUAGCGAAAUUCCUUGUCGGGUAAGUUCCGACCUGCACGAAUGGCGUAAUGAUGGCCAGGCUGUCUCCACCCGAGACUCAGUGAAAUUGAACUCGCUGUGAAGAUGCAGUGUACCCGCGGCAAGACGGAAAGACCCCGUGAACCUUUACUAUAGCUUGACACUGAACAUUGAGCCUUGAUGUGUAGGAUAGGUGGGAGGCUUUGAAGUGUGGACGCCAGUCUGCAUGGAGCCGACCUUGAAAUACCACCCUUUAAUGUUUGAUGUUCUAACGUGGACCCGUAAUCCGGGUUGCGGACAGUGUCUGGUGGGUAGUUUGACUGGGGCGGUCUCCUCCUAAAGAGUAACGGAGGAGCACGAAGGUUGGCUAAUCCUGGUCGGACAUCAGGAGGUUAGUGCAAUGGCAUAAGCCAGCUUGACUGCGAGCGUGACGGCGCGAGCAGGUGCGAAAGCAGGUCAUAGUGAUCCGGUGGUUCUGAAUGGAAGGGCCAUCGCUCAACGGAUAAAAGGUACUCCGGGGAUAACAGGCUGAUACCGCCCAAGAGUUCAUAUCGACGGCGGUGUUUGGCACCUCGAUGUCGGCUCAUCACAUCCUGGGGCUGAAGUAGGUCCCAAGGGUAUGGCUGUUCGCCAUUUAAAGUGGUACGCGAGCUGGGUUUAGAACGUCGUGAGACAGUUCGGUCCCUAUCUGCCGUGGGCGCUGGAGAACUGAGGGGGGCUGCUCCUAGUACGAGAGGACCGGAGUGGACGCAUCACUGGUGUUCGGGUUGUCAUGCCAAUGGCACUGCCCGGUAGCUAAAUGCGGAAGAGAUAAGUGCUGAAAGCAUCUAAGCACGAAACUUGCCCCGAGAUGAGUUCUCCCUGAGACUUUAAGUCUCCUGAAGGAACGUUGAAGACGACGACGUUGAUAGGCCGGGUGUGUAAGCGCAGCGAUGCGUUGAGCUAACCGGUACUAAUGAACCGUGAGGCUUAACCUUACAACGCCGAAG